This 444-nucleotide long non-coding RNA is filed under the name Vulpes vulpes (red fox). RNAcentral describes it as "lncRNA (ENSVVUG00000001958.1)". Lineage: Eukaryota; Metazoa; Chordata; Mammalia; Carnivora; Canidae. The record is from RNAcentral.
AAAAAGCUCAAAUGUAACAUUUUAUCCUCUAUUUUUAAAAAUUUAAAUUUUUAUUAGUAGCUACAGAUGAAGUAAAUGGAAUUUUGAGAGGAAUUUCCACUAUCUACUUCUAAUGGGCAAAAUACCAUGCUACCUGGACACAGCAGAAAACCGGGAGGCUACUUACUAUAAUAACAAGUGGGGAUUAAGUGGAAGCCUUGAAAUUGAUCUGAGAGAGAAGAUGUCUAUGUGCCUUAUAUGUGAUAUAUCAUGGAAAUGAAGAAGUGCAGAGGGUUGAGGAGGUGGUAUCUGGUUCUCCAGGUGAAUCAUAACACAAUUGCAGAUAUGCAGAUCUUACCUAGACAUUGUGAUCUGGUGAAGGUAUAACUCAGUGCAUGUGAGGGUAAGUAUACACCUUUAUCUCUCCAAAACUGGGAUUAAAAAAAUAAACCAGGAGGAACCAUU